AUACGGAGGAUCCGAGCGUUAUCCGGAUUUAUUGGGUUUAAAGGGAGCGUAGGCGGACGCUUAAGUCAGUUGUGAAAGUUUGCGGCUCAACCGUAAAAUUGCAGUUGAUACUGGGUGUCUUGAGUACAGUAGAGGCAGGGGGGAUUCGGGGGGUAGCGGUGGAAUGCUUAGAUAUCACGAAGAACUCCGAUUGCGAAGGCAGCCUGCUGGACUGUAACUGACGCUGAUGCUCGAAAGUGUGGGUAUCAAACAGGAUUAGAUACCCUGGUAGUCCACACAGUAAACGAUGAAUACUCGCUGUUUGCGAUAUACAGUAAGCGGCCAAGCGAAAGCGUUAAGUAUUCCACCUGGGGAGUACGCCGGCAACGGUGAAACUCAAAUGAAUUGGCGGGG
Molecule: ribosomal RNA, 393 nt
Filed under: uncultured bacterium
Lineage: Bacteria
Description: partial 16S ribosomal RNA
Rfam family: Bacterial small subunit ribosomal RNA
Source: RNAcentral